This 714-nucleotide ribosomal RNA is filed under the name Staphylococcus aureus. RNAcentral describes it as "bacterial SSU rRNA". It matches the Rfam family "Bacterial small subunit ribosomal RNA", at positions 196 to 897 of the family's 1533-position model. The record is from RNAcentral. Lineage: Bacteria; Bacillati; Bacillota; Bacilli; Caryophanales; Staphylococcaceae.
AAAAGUGAAAGACGGUCUUGCUGUCACUUAUAGAUGGAUCCGCGCUGCAUUAGCUAGUUGGUAAGGUAACGGCUUACCAAGGCAACGAUGCAUAGCCGACCUGAGAGGGUGAUCGGCCACACUGGAACUGAGACACGGUCCAGACUCCUACGGGAGGCAGCAGUAGGGAAUCUUCCGCAAUGGGCGAAAGCCUGACGGAGCAACGCCGCGUGAGUGAUGAAGGUCUUCGGAUCGUAAAACUCUGUUAUUAGGGAAGAACAUAUGUGUAAGUAACUGUGCACAUCUUGACGGUACCUAAUCAGAAAGCCACGGCUAACUACGUGCCAGCAGCCGCGGUAAUACGUAGGUGGCAAGCGUUAUCCGGAAUUAUUGGGCGUAAAGCGCGCGUAGGCGGUUUUUUAAGUCUGAUGUGAAAGCCCACGGCUCAACCGUGGAGGGUCAUUGGAAACUGGAAAACUUGAGUGCAGAAGAGGAAAGUGGAAUUCCAUGUGUAGCGGUGAAAUGCGCAGAGAUAUGGAGGAACACCAGUGGCGAAGGCGACUUUCUGGUCUGUAACUGACGCUGAUGUGCGAAAGCGUGGGGAUCAAACAGGAUUAGAUACCCUGGUAGUCCACGCCGUAAACGAUGAGUGCUAAGUGUUAGGGGGUUUCCGCCCCUUAGUGCUGCAGCUAACGCAUUAAGCACUCCGCCUGGGGAGUACGACCGCAAGGUUGA